Non-coding RNA from Meleagris gallopavo (turkey), 574 nucleotides. Lineage: Eukaryota; Metazoa; Chordata; Aves; Galliformes; Phasianidae. The record is from RefSeq and is a predicted model, not a curated record.
GUUAAAUUUGGAAGUUAAACAGGUUGUCAUCAGCCAACCACAAACUGCUGACAUCUGAGGAUCUAUCCAGUUCUGAAAACAAAUGAAGCCAAAUCGCUGGAAACAUUACUGGAAAGUCAAACCAAGGGGUCAAUCUAGAAUAUUUCCACUCCUGUUUUGUCAAAACAUCCAAUUAGUCAAACACUUCCAGUGCUCAAAGAUUCAUGUGUAAAUCACUGUAAUUCCGGAACAGAACCGAGUAACCACGUCGCUUCAGUGCUGCGUUCAAUCUUUGUUCAGUACUUCUACAUUUAAGAGCCAAAAGCCAGACAUCUCUCCACACAGACAUGCCAACUGCUCAGCUAUUUAAUCAACGUUCACAUUUAAAUGAGAUCACGGGAAAGCACAUAUAUAUCUGCUUUGCAAGGCAUCAUCACUGAACACUUAGCAGCCCAUUCCUUAUCCCUGUAGAAGUGUGUGUCCAAGGGAGCACACCUUAAAGCUGCAAGGUGGAGGUAUGAAAGGAGUACUGCUGGCAAGACAUCUGUAAAAUUCUGCAACGCUGCUGAGUAAGUGGAAGGAAAAUCCGGUGAAC